GGGACACGUGGUAUCCUGUCUGAAUAUGGGGGGACCAUCCUCCAAGGCUAAAUACUCCUGACUGACCGAUAGUGAACCAGUACCGUGAGGGAAAGGCGAAAAGAACCCCGGCGAGGGGAGUGAAAAAGAACCUGAAACCGUGUACGUACAAGCAGUGGGAGCACGCUUAGGCGUGUGACUGCGUACCUUUUGUAUAAUGGGUCAGCGACUUAUAUUCUGUAGCAAGGUUAACCGAAUAGGGGAGCCGAAGGGAAACCGAGUCUUAACUGGGCGUUAAGUUGCAGGGUAUAGACCCGAAACCCGGUGAUCUAGCCAUGGGCAGGUUGAAGGUUGGGUAACACUAACUGGAGGACCGAACCGACUAAUGUUGAAAAAUUAGCGGAUGACUUGUGGCUGGGGGUGAAAGGCCAAUCAAACCGGGAGAUAGCUGGUUCUCCCCGAAAGCUAUUUAGGUAGCGCCUCGUGAAUUCAUCUCCGGGGGUAGAGCACUGUUUCGGCAAGGGGGUCAUCCCGACUUACCAACCCGAUGCAAACUGCGAAUACCGGAGAAUGUUAUCACGGGAGACACACGGCGGGUGCUAACGUCCGUCGUGAAGAGGGAAACAACCCAGACCGCCAGCUAAGGUCCCAAAGUCAUGGUUAAGUGGGAAACGAUGUGGGAAGGCCCAGACAGCCAGGAUGUUGGCUUAGAAGCAGCCAUCAUUUAAAGAAAGCGUAAUAGCUCACUGGUCGAGUCGGCCUGCGCGGAAGAUGUAACGGGGCUAAACCAUGCACCGAAGCUGCGGCAGCGACGCUUAUGCGUUGUUGGGUAGGGGAGCGUUCUGUAAGCCUGUGAAGGUGUACUGUGAGGUAUGCUGGAGGUAUCAGAAGUGCGAAUGCUGACAUAAGUAACGAUAAAGCGGGUGAAAAGCCCGCUCGCCGGAAGACCAAGGGUUCCUGUCCAACGUUAAUCGGGGCAGGGUGAGUCGACCCCUAAGGCGAGGCCGAAAGGCGUAGUCGAUGGGAAACAGGUUAAUAUUCCUGUACUUGGUGUUACUGCGAAGGGGGGACGGAGAAGGCUAUGUUGGCCGGGCGACGGUUGUCCCGGUUUAAGCGUGUAGGCUGGUUUUCCAGGCAAAUCCGGAAAAUCAAGGCUGAGGCGUGAUGACGAGGCACUACGGUGCUGAAGCAACAAAUGCCCUGCUUCCAGGAAAAGCCUCUAAGCAUCAGGUAACAUCAAAUCGUACCCCAAACCGACACAGGUGGUCAGGUAGAGAAUACCAAGGCGCUUGAGAGAACUCGGGUGAAGGAACUAGGCAAAAUGGUGCCGUAACUUCGGGAGAAGGCACGCUGAUAUGUAGGUGAAGUCCCUCGCGGAUGGAGCUGAAAUCAGUCGAAGAUACCAGCUGGCUGCAACUGUUUAUUAAAAACACAGCACUGUGCAAACACGAAAGUGGACGUAUACGGUGUGACGCCUGCCCGGUGCCGGAAGGUUAAUUGAUGGGGUUAGCGCAAGCGAAGCUCUUGAUCGAAGCCCCGGUAAACGGCGGCCGUAACUAUAACGGUCCUAAGGUAGCGAAAUUCCUUGUCGGGUAAGUUCCGACCUGCACGAAUGGCGUAAUGAUGGCCAGGCUGUCUCCACCCGAGACUCAGUGAAAUUGAACUCGCUGUGAAGAUGCAGUGUACCCGCGGCAAGACGGAAAGACCCCGUGAACCUUUACUAUAGCUUGACACUGAACAUUGAGCCUUGAUGUGUAGGAUAGGUGGGAGGCUUUGAAGUGUGGACGCCAGUCUGCAUGGAGCCGACCUUGAAAUACCACCCUUUAAUGUUUGAUGUUCUAACGUUGACCCGUAAUCCGGGUUGCGGACAGUGUCUGGUGGGUAGUUUGACUGGGGCGGUCUCCUCCUAAAGAGUAACGGAGGAGCACGAAGGUUGGCUAAUCCUGGUCGGACAUCAGGAGGUUAGUGCAAUGGCAUAAGCCAGCUUGACUGCGAGCGUGACGGCGCGAGCAGGUGCGAAAGCAGGUCAUAGUGAUCCGGUGGUUCUGAAUGGAAGGGCCAUCGCUCAACGGAUAAAAGGUACUCCGGGGAUAACAGGCUGAUACCGCCCAAGAGUUCAUAUCGACGGCGGUGUUUGGCACCUCGAUGUCGGCUCAUCACAUCCUGGGGCUGAAGUAGGUCCCAAGGGUAUGGCUGUUCGCCAUUUAAAGUGGUACGCGAGCUGGGUUUAGAACGUCGUGAGACAGUUCGGUCCCUA
RNAcentral lists this ribosomal RNA (2236 nucleotides) under Escherichia coli. RNAcentral describes it as "partial 23S ribosomal RNA". It matches the Rfam family "Bacterial large subunit ribosomal RNA", at positions 419 to 2640 of the family's 2925-position model. The record is from RNAcentral. Lineage: Bacteria; Pseudomonadati; Pseudomonadota; Gammaproteobacteria; Enterobacterales; Enterobacteriaceae.